Molecule: ribosomal RNA, 1783 nt
Filed under: freshwater metagenome
Description: bacterial LSU rRNA
Rfam family: Bacterial large subunit ribosomal RNA
Source: RNAcentral
UCCGCAAGUAGUGGCGAGCGAACGCGGAGAAGCCCAAACCAGUUAUGUAGCAAUGCAUAGCUGGGGUUAUAGGACUGCGAGAUUUGGAUUAAAAGAGAAUUGGAAUCGUAAUGGAAAUUUGAACCAUGGAGGGUGAGAGCCCCGUAAGGGUAAGUAAAUGCAACAUAGUGGUAUCCUGAGUACCGCGAGGUCGGAGACGCCUUGUGGGAAUCUGCCGGCACCAUCCGGUAAGGCUAAAUACUACCAAGACACCGAUAGUGAACUAGUACCGUGAGGGAAAGGUGGAAAGUAUCUCGAAUAGAGAGGUGAAAUAGAACCUGAAACCAUACGCUUACAAGCGGUCGGAGCCCAUUUAUUGGGUGACGGCGUGCCUUUUGCAUAAUGAGCCUACGAGUUGCUCCUCACUAGCAAGGUUAAUCCGCUGAAGCGGAGGAGCCGAAGCGAAAGCGAGUCUGAAUAGGGCGAAUAGUUAGUGGGGGCAGACGCGAAACUUUGUGAUCUACCCAUGGCCAGGAUGAAGCUCCGAUAACACGGAGUGGAGGUCCGAACUGGUAAGCGUUGAAAAGCUUUCGGAUGAGCUGUGGGUAGGGGUGAAAGGCUAAUCAAACUGAGAGAUAGCUCGUACUCCCCGAAAUGUUUUUAGGAACAGCCUCAGGCUAAGUAUUAUAUAGGUAGAGCUACCAAUUGGGUAAGGGGGAGUCAAAUCCUACCGAACUCAGAUGAACUCCGAAUGAUAUAAUAUGUUACCUGGGAGUGAGGGCAUGGGUGCUAAGGUCCGUGUCCGAGAGGGAAAGAACCCAGAGCAUCGGCUAAGGUCCCCAAAUUUAUACUAAGUUGAACUAACAAGGUCCAGUUGCACAGACAGCUAGGAUGUUUGCUUGGAAGCAGCAAUUCAUUUAAAGAGUGCGUAACAGCUCACUAGUCGAGCGACCGGGCGUGGAUAAUAAACGGGCAUAAAGUAUAAUACCGAAGCUGUGCGAUAGAAAUAUCGGUAGGGGAGCAUUCUGAUAUCAGUGAAGCUGCGUGGUGAUGCGUGGUGGAGAGAUCAGAAAAGCAAAUGUAGGCAUAAGUAACGAUAAUGAAUGUGAGAAACAUUCACACCGAUAGACUAAGGUUUCCUGAUCAACGUUAAUCGGAUCAGGGUUAGUCGGGGCCUAAGGCGUAGCGGAUCAGCGAAGCCGAUGGAUAACUGGUUAAUAUUCCAGUACUUUUUAUGGAGCGAAGUGGAGACGCAGGAGUGAAAGGUUCGCCUGGUGACGGAAUACCAGGUUAAAGCGGGUAGAUAAAUUUGGUGUAGGCAAAUCCGCACUGAAUGUCGAGCGUGAUAGUACCGAGAGGCCUUGUGCCAAUUGGAUAGUGACCCUAAUCAUACUGCCGAGAAAAUCCGCUAGCAUUAAUCCAUAACAACCCGUACCGCAAUCCGACACAGGUAGUCAAGGAGAGAAUCCUGAGGUGCUCGAGUGAAUCACGGUUAAGGAACUCGGCAAAUUAACCCUGUAACUUCGGGAAAAAGGGUGCCCUGUGCAAGCAGGGCCGCAGAGAAAUGGCUCAGGCGACUGUUUAACAAAAACACAUGGCUUUGCAAAAUCGAAAGAUGAAGUAUAAGGCCUGACACCUGCCCGGUGCUGGAAGGUUAAGAGGGGAUGUCAUCGCAAGAGAAGCAUUGAAUCGAAGCCCCAGUAAACGGCGGCCUGAUAUCGUGACUAUAACGGUCCUAAGGUAGCGAAAUUCCUUGUCGGGUAAGUUCCGACCUGCACGAAUGGUGUAACGAUCUGGGCACUGU